UGGGGAAUAUUGCACAAUGGGCGCAAGCCUGAUGCAGCCAUGCCGCGUGUGUGAAGAAGGCCUUCGGGUUGUAAAGCACUUUCAGCGGGGAGGAAGGCGUUAAGGUUAAUAACCUUGGCGAUUGACGUUACCCGCAGAAGAAGCACCGGCUAACUCCGUGCCAGCAGCCGCGGUAAUACGGAGGGUGCAAGCGUUAAUCGGAAUUACUGGGCGUAAAGCGCACGCAGGCGGUCUGUCAAGUCGGAUGUGAAAUCCCCGGGCUCAACCUGGGAACGGCAUCUGAUACUGGCAAGCUUGAGUCUCGUAGAGGGGGGUAGAAUUCCAGGUGUAGCGGUGAAAUGCGUGGAGAUCUGGAGGAAUACCGGUGGCGAAGGCGGCCCCCUGGACGAAGACUGACGCUCAGGUGCGAAAGCGUGGGGAGCAAACAGG
This 429-nucleotide ribosomal RNA is filed under the name Chloroflexota bacterium. RNAcentral describes it as "Chloroflexi bacterium partial 16S ribosomal RNA". It matches the Rfam family "Bacterial small subunit ribosomal RNA", at positions 355 to 776 of the family's 1533-position model. Lineage: Bacteria; Bacillati; Chloroflexota. The record is from RNAcentral.